UACAGAGGGGGCAAGCGUUGUUCGGAAUUACUGGGCGUAAAGGGCGCGUAGGCGGCCUUCUAAGUCAUGCGUGAAAUCCCCGGGCUCAACCCGGGAACUGCGUCUGAUACUGGAAGGCUUGAAUCCGGGAGAGGGAUGCGGAAUUCCAGGUGUAGCGGUGAAAUGCGUAGAUAUCUGGAGGAACACCGGUGGCGAAGGCGGCAUCCUGGACCGGCAUUGACGCUGAGGCGCGAAAGCCAGGGGAGCAAACGGG
Molecule: ribosomal RNA, 253 nt
Filed under: uncultured bacterium
Lineage: Bacteria
Description: partial 16S ribosomal RNA
Rfam family: Bacterial small subunit ribosomal RNA
Source: RNAcentral